Non-coding RNA from Streptomyces bingchenggensis BCW-1, 75 nucleotides. It matches the Rfam family "ASpks TB sRNA". Lineage: Bacteria; Bacillati; Actinomycetota; Actinomycetes; Kitasatosporales; Streptomycetaceae. The record is from Rfam.
CUUCACCGAGCCCAGCCGCAGCGGCCGGCCCUCCGGCCGGCCCCGUCCGUAGGUGGCCAGGAGGGCCUGUGCCUC